Molecule: ribosomal RNA, 497 nt
Filed under: uncultured bacterium
Lineage: Bacteria
Description: partial 16S ribosomal RNA
Rfam family: Bacterial small subunit ribosomal RNA
Source: RNAcentral
GAUGAACGCUGGCGGCGUGCCUAAUACAUGCAAGUCGAGCGAACGGACGAGAAGCUUGCUUUUCUGAUGUUAGCGGCGGACGGGUGAGUAACACGUGGAUAACCUACCUAUAAGACUGGGAUAACUUCGGGAAACCGGAGCUAAUACCGGAUAAUAUUUUGAACCGCAUGGUUCAAAAGUGAAAGACGGUCUUGCUGUCACUUAUAGAUGGAUCCGCGCUGCAUUGGCUAGUUGGUAAGUUAACGGCUUACCAAGGCAACGAUGCAUAGCCGACCUGAGAGGGUGAUAGGCCACACUGGAGCUGAGCCACGGUCCAGACUCCUACGGGAGGCAGCAGUAGGGAAUCGUCCGCAAUGGGCGAAAGCCUGACGGAGCAACGCCGAGUGAGUGAUGAAGGUCUUCGGAUCGUAAAACUCUGUUAUUAGGGAAGAACAUAUGUGUAAGUAAAUGUGCACAUCUUGACGGUAACUAAUAAGAAAGCACCGGCUAACUACGUG